AGGUUAAGUUAGAAAGAGCGCAGGGUGGAUGCCUUGGCACUGAGAGCCGAAGAAAGACGUGAUAAGCUGCGAAAAGCUGCGGUAAGGAGCAAAUAUCCGAUGACCCGCAGAUAUCUGAAUGGGGAAACCCGGCUGAGCAAACCUCAGUCACCGUAUACUGAAUACAUAGGUAUACGGAGGGAACCCGCUGAACUGAAACAUCUAAGUAGGCGGAGGAAGAGAAAGAAACAUCGAUUCCGUAAGUAGCGGCGAGCGAACGCGGAAGAGCCCAAACCGUUGUGCGUGCACGACGGGGUAUGGACUGCGAUAUGGCAGUGUGGAAGAUAGUAGAAGGGUCUGGGAAGUCCCGCCAGAGAGAGUGAAAGCCUCGUACAUGAAAUCAGAAACACACCUAGCAGGAUCCGGAGUACCACGAGACACGAGAAACCUUGUGGGAAGGCGGAGGGACCACCCUCCAAGGCUAAAUACUACUCAGUGACCGAUAGCGCAUAGUACUGUGAAGGAAAGGUGAAAAGGACCCCGGGAGGGGAGUGAAAGAGAACCUGAAACCCUGUGUUUACAAGCUGUGGAACUGCGAAUAAAGCAGAACCGCGUACUUUUUGUAGAACGGUCCGGCGAGUUUCUUGUGCUGGCAAGGUUAAGUACCUCAGGUACGGAGCCGAAGUGAAAGCAAGUGUUAAUAGCACGUAAAGUCAGUAUAAGAAGACCCGAAACCGGGUGAUCUACCCAUGUCCAGGUUGAAGUUGCCGUAAAAGGCAAUGGAGGACCGAACGCACAUCCGUUGAAAAGGGUGGCGAUGAGGUGUGGGUAGGGGAGAAAUUCCAAUCGAACCCGGAGAUAGCUGGUUCUCCUCGAAAUAGCUUUAGGGCUAGCCUCGUAUUAGUCUAGCGGAGGUAGAGCACUGAAUAUCCUAGGGGGCGUCAAAGCUUACCGAAGAUUAUCAAACUCCGAAUGCCGCAGAGAUGAUGUACGGGAGUCAGACUGCACGAGAUAAGUUGGGUAGUCAAAAGGGAAAGAGCCCAGACCAUCAGCUAAGGUCCCAAAGUGUGUGUUAAGUGGUAAAGGAUGUGGGAUUUCGAAGACAACUAGGAUGUUGGCUCAGAAGCAGCCAUACAUUCAAAGAGUGCGUAAUAGCUCACUAGUCGAGAGGUCCUGCGCCGAAAAUGUCCGGGGCUAAAACACACCACCGAAGCUAUGGAAUGUGAAAACAUUGGUAGAGGAGCAUUCUUAACGUGACGAAGCUGUACCGGAAGGAGCAGUGGAGUGUUAAGAAGAGAGAAUGCCGGAAUGAGUAGCGAGAUUUAAGUGAGAAUCUUAAAGGCCGAAUAUCUAAGGUUUCCAGGGUAAAGCUGAUCUUCCCUGGGUAAGUCGGGGCCUAAGGCGAGGACGAAAGUCGUAGUCGAUGGAUAACAGGUAGAAAUUCCUGUACCACAUACAAACAGAACUGUGGGGACGCAGAGAGAAAGCCAGAGCCGGAAAUGGAAAAGCCGGUGCAAGCGAGGUAUCCGUAAGGGAGGCAAAUCCCCCUUGCAAGGAGAAGACGUAAUGCGGAGUGAACUAUAAGUAACGAAGCUGGUGAGCUAGCUGCCAAGAAAAGCCGCUAUUGUUUUGUAUGUGCCCGUACCGUAAACCGACACAGGUGGAUGAGGAGAGAAUCCUAAGGCCGGCGGGAGAAGUGUUGUUAAGGAACUCGGCAAAAUGACUCCGUAACUUCGGGAGAAGGAGUGCCACAGAGAUGUGGCCGCAGAGAAAUGGCCCAAGCAACUGUUUAGCAAAAACACAGGUCUAUGCAAAACCGAAAGGUGAGGUAUAUGGGCUGACGCCUGCCCGGUGCUGGAAGGUUAAGAGGAGAGCUUAGCGCAAGCGAAGGUUUGAAUUUAAGCCCCAGUAAACGGCGGCCGUAACUAUAACGGUCCUAAGGUAGCGAAAUUCCUUGUCGGGUAAGUUCCGACCCGCACGAAAGGCGUAAUGAUUUGGGCACUGUCUCGACAACACACCCGGUGAAAUUGAAAUACCAGUGAAGAUGCUGGUUACCUGCGCCAGGACGGAAAGACCCCAUGGAGCUUUACUCCAGUUUGAUACUGGGAUUCGGUACUGUCUGUACAGGAUAGGUGGGAAGCUAGGAAAUGAUGACGCCAGUUGUCAUGGAGCUGACCUUGGGAUACCACCCUUACAGUACUGGGUUUCUAACCUGCAGCCGUGACCCGGCUGGGGGACAAUGUCUGACGGGGAGUUUGACUGGGGCGGUCGCCUCCGAAAGGGUAUCGGAGGCGCUCAAAGGUUCCCUCAGAAUGGUCGGAAACCAUUCGAAGAGUGCAAAGGCAGAAGGGAGCUUGACUGCGACACCGACGGGUGGAGCAGGUACGAAAGUAGGACUUAGUGAUCCGGUGGUAUAACGUGGGAUUGCCAUCGCUCAACGGAUAAAAGCUACCCUGGGGAUAACAGGCUUAUCACUCCCAAGAGUUCACAUCGACGGAGUGGUUUGGCACCUCGAUGUCGGCUCAUCGCAUCCUGGAGCUGUAGCAGGUUCCAAGGGUUGGGCUGUUCGCCCAUUAAAGCGGUACGCGAGCUGGGUUCAGAACGUCGUGAGACAGUUCGGUCCCUAUCCGGCGUGGGCGUAGGAUAUUUGAGAGGAGCUGUCCUUAGUACGAGAGGACCGGGAUGGACGGACCGCUGGUGUAUCUGUUGUUGACCAACAGCAUGGCAGAGUAGCCAAGUCCGGCAGGGAUAAACGCUGAAGGCAUCUAAGCGUGAAGCCCCCCUCAAGAUUAGAUAUCCCAUUCUUUAAAGAAAUAAGACCCCUUGAAGACUACGAGGUUGAUAGGUCUGAGGUGUAAGUGCGGUAACGCAUUCAGCUGACAGAUACUAAUAGGUCGAAGACUUAUCCUGAG
This 2891-nucleotide ribosomal RNA is filed under the name Clostridium sp. AF17-2. RNAcentral describes it as "23S ribosomal RNA". It matches the Rfam family "Bacterial large subunit ribosomal RNA". Lineage: Bacteria; Bacillati; Bacillota; Clostridia; Eubacteriales; Clostridiaceae. The record is from RNAcentral.